UAAAGUUAGCUCAGGCAGCCGUCGAGCAUGUGCACUCACCAGAGGUCGACUUCAUUUUUCAGCUACCGGUAUCUUCGAAUUCAUCACCUCCGUUUUCCGGUUCAAGUGAGAAACAGGUGUACAACAGCUCUCUCUGACUGGAAGGUCUCCGCGUGUGAUGUUGAUCUCCAUGUUGCCUGCACCACGGAGCAGAAAGACCGGCCAAAGAGCGAGAGACGGCAGCUGAAACAGCAGACAACAGCCCCAUCUACAGAUUCUUUUCAGUCACUGUGAUACAGAGUGGACACGAGCUGGUGUGACACUUGAAUUUCCCUGCAUGGAAUCAAAAAUGUUUGAUAUUCAUAUUGGAAUUAAAGGAGAACUAAAAAUGGCUCAGUUUAUUCUUUCAGAGUGUCUUUAUUUAAGUAUAUCAUUGGCUCUGCAUCUCACCGCAAGGUCUUCCAGGAAUAGCUGUGACUCCAAAU
This is a long non-coding RNA of Oreochromis aureus, 464 nucleotides long. RefSeq lists it as uncharacterized. NCBI's taxonomy places the organism in Eukaryota, Metazoa, Chordata, Actinopteri, Cichliformes, Cichlidae. The record is from RefSeq and is a predicted model, not a curated record. The transcript has 3 exons.